This 254-nucleotide ribosomal RNA is filed under the name uncultured bacterium. RNAcentral describes it as "partial 16S ribosomal RNA". It matches the Rfam family "Bacterial small subunit ribosomal RNA", at positions 524 to 776 of the family's 1533-position model. The record is from RNAcentral.
UACGUAGGGGGCGAGCGUUGUCCGGAAUUAUUGGGCGUAAAGAGCGCGUAGGCGGUGUGUCACGUCGGCCGUGAAAACCUGCAGCUUAACUGUGGGCGUGCGGUCGAUACGGGCAUCACUGGAGUUCGGCAGGGGAGACUGGAAUUCCUGGUGUAGCGGUGAAAUGCGUAGAGAUUGGAAAGAACACCGAUGGCGAAGGCACUUUACUGGGCUAUUACUAACACUCAGAGACGAAAGCUAGGGUAGCAAAUGGG